AGGACGAACGCUGGCGGCGUGCUUUACACAUGCAAGUCGAACGGUGAAGGUGGAGCUUGCUCCGCCGGAUCAGUGGCGAACGGGUGAGUAACACGUGGGCAACCUGCCCCUAACUUUGGGAUAACUACUCGAAAGAGUAGCUAAUACCGGAUAUGAAGUCUGUAGGCAUCUACGGAUUUGGAAAGCUUUUCGGUUAGGGAUGGGCCCGCGGCCUAUCAGCUAGUUGGUGAGGUAAUGGCUCACCAAGGCGACGAUAGGUAGCCGGCCUGAGAGGGUGAACGGCCACAAGGGGACUGAGACACGGCCCUUACUCCUACGGGAGGCAGCAGUGGGGAAUAUUGGACAAUGGACCAAAAGUCUGAUCCAGCAAUUCUGUGUGCUUGAUGAAGGCCUUCGGGUUGUAAACUGCUUUUGUACGGAACGAAAAGGUUUCUAUUAAUACUAGGAGCUCAUGACGGUACCGUAAGAAUAAGCACCGGCUAACUACGUG
RNAcentral lists this ribosomal RNA (490 nucleotides) under uncultured bacterium. RNAcentral describes it as "bacterial SSU rRNA". It matches the Rfam family "Bacterial small subunit ribosomal RNA", at positions 26 to 507 of the family's 1533-position model. The record is from RNAcentral.